RNAcentral lists this ribosomal RNA (453 nucleotides) under uncultured soil bacterium. Its description in RNAcentral is "bacterial SSU rRNA". It matches the Rfam family "Bacterial small subunit ribosomal RNA", at positions 26 to 523 of the family's 1533-position model. The record is from RNAcentral.
AGAACGAACGCUGGCGGCAUGCCUAAUACAUGCAAGUCGAACGAACACUUCGGUGUUAGUGGCGCACGGGUGCGUAACGCGUGGGAAUCUGCCCUUGGGUUCGGAAUAACAGUUGGAAACGACUGCUAAUACCGGAUGAUAUCGAAAGAUCAAAGAUUUAUCGCCCAGGGAUGAGCCCGCGUAGGAUUAGCUAGUUGGUGAGGUAAAGGCUCACCAAGGCGACGAUCCUUAGCUGGUCUGAGAGGAUGAUCAGCCACACUGGGACUGAGACACGGCCCAGACUCCUACGGGAGGCAGCAGUAGGGAAUAUUGGACAAGUGGGCGCAAGCCUGAUCCAGCAAUGCCGCGUGAGUGAUGAAGGCCGUUAGGGUGUAAAGCUCUUUUACCGAGAUGAUAAUGACAGUAUGGAGAAUAACGCCCCGGCUAACGUCCGACGCCAGCAGCCGACGGUAA